Zeugodacus cucurbitae (melon fly) is the source of this 1499-nucleotide long non-coding RNA. RefSeq lists it as uncharacterized. The transcript has 2 exons. NCBI's taxonomy places the organism in Eukaryota, Metazoa, Arthropoda, Insecta, Diptera, Tephritidae. The record is from RefSeq and is a predicted model, not a curated record.
ACAAACAAUCAGUCAGACCACAAAUAAAUAAUUGUUAAGGCAAAUAAAUGACAAUAGCAACAACAAAAACAUCAAACGGAGUGUACUUGCAAACAAUUGUUACAAUUGCAAUAAAAAUCUCCUCUGAAAUGUGUUUAUGAAUGCAAGCAUGUGGGGAACAACAGCAACAAAGCACAGUGGUGGCAAACAAGCAAAUUGCAACACAUACAGACAACAACUGCAUAUUGGCUGGAGUGACAUUAGCAAUAAACCAUGGACAGAAUGACAAUUGUUGCAGCCACAAUAAAAAAAAAGUUGAAAAUAAUUGGAAUAUAAUAAAAUAAACAGCAAUGAAUAUGGUAUAUAUGUGGCAAAGAAGAAUUUAGCGAGUGGUGAGGGGUGUUGGAAGAAAAAUAGUUAGCAUUUUGUCACCCGAAAUGAUCGAAGAGAUAUAACUGAAAAAGUGAAGCAAUUGAGAUUGAUUGCUGCAACAAAACUGAGCAAUAACGGCGCGCAUGUGCGAGUCUGUUUGCCACAGCAGCGUGUGUUGCACGUUGAACAAGCGCGACACAAUCAACCCGGGCUGGUUGCUAGCAAUUCAACGGCGACCAUUUCUACAUGAAAUUUAGCAACUACUGGCAGUGGCACACACAACUACUAGUUACAGCAACAACAACAACAUAUAUAUAAUAGCAGCGACAGCAAUAAAGCAUGCAACAACAACGAUGGAAACGAUAAUUUGUCACAGCUGCGUGGGCAGUUUGCUUUACGAAAUUACUCCUUUCUUGCCUGAGACGGACCAACAAAAAAGACAGCUAGAUGAUGCAGCUGACAUGCUGCCUAGUGUUGUCCGCCUGCCACUCAGCCGCCUUUCAGGGCAAAACUGUGUGCUUGCCACCAACCUCUGAUCUGAAUUUUAUGUUUAGGCGCUGCUGAGGUCUAAUGAAAUGCGUUCAACUUAUAAAUUGUUGUUGGUUUUGCAGUUGUUUUGACUUCAACUUUCUGGUGGUUGUUGCGAAUAUCUUGUUACUGCUGUUGUUGUUGAUUGGCCGACAGACACGCACGUUGAUUUCUGCACAGUUGAAAUGUUGAUUUACGGUGACUGCUCGAGGGUAGAUGUGAGUUAAACGCCCCAUGCAAUGCUGUGGCACUGUUGCAUUUUACAUUACAACUUCCGCAAAUGCUGCUGCGAAUGGUGAAGCGGAUAUGGUCUAUGAGGCGUAAGGGUGUCAGCGUUACAUUGCUCAAAUAACACAUCUAAUAUAUUUUGGAAAUUAUUAUUUUUUGUUGUUGUAAACUGUUUCGUCGCAGUCAGUUGUUGUGUACAUUUACCCCCUGUUAUAGUUUUGUUUAUCAAAAUUUUGUGGACUUGUCCAUAGGUGCGCGCUUGUUGGUAAACCACUUGUUGCUUAAGUAUAAUCGCAACGAAACACCAGCAGAUAACUUGCUGAGAUAAGAUCAACAAAUUUGUAAAUUCGCUAAUAUGUGCAGUUAAAUUAUUUCAAUAAACUUGUAGGCAA